GAUGAACGCUGGCGGCGUGCCUAAUACAUGCAAGUCGAGCGAACAGACGAGGAGCUUGCUCCUCUGACGUUAGCGGCGGACGGGUGAGUAACACGUGGAUAACCUACCUAUAAGACUGGGAUAACUUCGGGAAACCGGAGCUAAUACCGGAUAAUAUAUUGAACCGCAUGGUUCAAUAGUGAAAGACGGUUUUGCUGUCACUUAUAGAUGGAUCCGCGCCGCAUUAGCUAGUUGGUAAGGUAACGGCUUACCAAGGCAACGAUGCGUAGCCGACCUGAGAGGGUGAUCGGCCACACUGGAACUGAGACACGAUCCAGACUCCUACGGGAGGCAGCAGUAGGGAAUCUUCCGCAAUGGGCGAAAGCUUGACGGAGCAACGCCGCGUGAGUGAUGAAGGUCUUCGGAUCGUAAAACUCUGUUAUUAGGGAAGAACAAAUGUGUAAGUAACUAUGCACGUCUUGACGGUACCUAAUCAGAAAGCCACGGCUAACUACGUG
Molecule: ribosomal RNA, 497 nt
Filed under: uncultured bacterium
Lineage: Bacteria
Description: partial 16S ribosomal RNA
Rfam family: Bacterial small subunit ribosomal RNA
Source: RNAcentral